This 253-nucleotide ribosomal RNA is filed under the name uncultured bacterium. RNAcentral's name for it is "partial 16S ribosomal RNA". It matches the Rfam family "Bacterial small subunit ribosomal RNA", at positions 524 to 776 of the family's 1533-position model. The record is from RNAcentral.
UACGUAGGGUGCAAGCGUUAAUCGGAAUUACUGGGCGUAAAGCGUGCGCAGGCGGUUUUGUAAGUCUGUCGUGAAAUCCCCGGGCUCAACCUGGGGAUUGCGAUGGAGACUGCAAGGCUAGAAUCUGGCAGAGGGGGGUAGAAUUCCACGUGUAGCAGUGAAAUGCGUAGAGAUGUGGAGGAACACCGAUGGCGAAGGCAGCCCCCUGGGUCAAGAUUGACGCUCAUGCACGAAAGCGUGGGGAGCAAACAGG